CUGCAAGGACUCUUAAAACGGCUCUUCUCAUUCGUAGUUCACAUAGGAAGAAAGUCGGGUAUCAAACAUGAAAUUCAUCUAUGUUUCUAGAAAAUUUGGUUACUCAAACUGGUAUAAGGUAAAUUUAACGGGUUUUGGUGAAGUUGUGUGUUAGUCCAACCACAGGUUCGAGUCACCCACAGAUCCACAAUUCACCUACGACCUAUGAUUCCAUAGGGGUAAUUGAGGGAGCUUAUAUGUGUGAUGUAUCGUUGCAUUUGUAAUUUGAUUAUAACAUUAGUUAAUCUAGAUGGGCAUGCUUCACAGACUUUUUCUAACCCACUCCCAGUUCUAAACUUUCACAUUGGUAAUUGGCCUCCUAAAAGAUGCAUGACUGUGCAGAUAAAUAUAACAAUUGAAAUUGUCUUAAAUUAUGUAAGAGAUCUAAAAAGUCGUAUAAGAAGAAGCAUGACAGUAUGGUUAAAUUUGUAUGUUCAAUUUAUUUGUUUGUUGGUGCAUGCAUGUUUACUUUGCAAUAAAAAUAUUUAACCCUGACAAUUGUUUUUGGUGUGUAAACAGGAGCAAUGAAAGCGCCAAGCUUUUUUUCCCAUAAUUUAUCUUAAAGGUGGUAUGACCGAGUGUAGUUUAUUAAAGGUGGUAUGUUCACCUGCAUUGGUUUUCAUUCAUCGUCUCGAAAAGAUAUUCAAUAGUUCAAAUAACCAGAGUUCAUAUAUUUAUACUUCUGCUGUGAUUUGUGAUCAGACCAACCCUAUACCCAAUCACUCGAUCUCAUAGUUUUCGGCUUUUUGAAUCUUUAUCUUUGAUGGUAGGAGGACUUGAAGAAAACAUCCAUGAUAAACUUUUUUAGUCUUCUUUCGAGUCAUGUAGUUAGAUGUAUUGCAGCCAUUUGCUAAUUACGAUUGUUGAAAAAUAUUGUACUCAUUCAGUUCCCACUACUGUAAAUAUCUACCUUUUGCUCUGGUGUUUCCUCAAGUCCUUUGUAAGAAGACAAUGGCACAAGUUAGUAUGACAUUUGUCCUACUACUAGUCUUUGUCUCGCGCUCUGCUGCGAGUAAUUUUC
Fragaria vesca subsp. vesca is the source of this 1060-nucleotide RNA transcript. RefSeq lists it as uncharacterized. The record is from RefSeq and is a predicted model, not a curated record. Lineage: Eukaryota; Viridiplantae; Streptophyta; Magnoliopsida; Rosales; Rosaceae. The transcript is spliced from 4 exons.